AGAGUUUGAUCCUGGCUCAGGAUGAACGCUAGCGGCAGGCUUAACACAUGCAAGUCGAGGGGCAUCGGGAGGGAAGCUUGCUUUCCUUGCCGGCGACCGGCGCACGGGUGAGUAACACGUAUGCAACCUGCCCUCUUCAGGGGGACAACCUUCCGAAAGGGAGGCUAAUCCCGCGUAUAUCGGUUUCGGGCAUCCGAGAUCGAGGAAAGAUUCAUCGGAAGAGGAUGGGCAUGCGGCGCAUUAGCUAGACGGCGGGGUAACGGCCCACCGUGGCGACGAUGCGUAGGGGUUCUGAGAGGAAGGUCCCCCACACUGGUACUGAGACACGGACCAGACUCCUACGGGAGGCAGCAGUGAGGAAUAUUGGUCAAUGGGAGAGAUCCUGAACCAGCCAAGCCGCGUGAGGGAAGACGGCCCUAUGGGUUGUAAACCUCUUUUGACGGAGAACAAAACCCGGGACGUGUCCCGGACUGCGUGUAUCCGAAGAAAAAGCAUCGGCUAACUCCGUGCCAGCAGCCGCGGUAAUACGGAGGAUGCGAGCGUUAUCCGGAUUUAUUGGGUUUAAAGGGUGCGUAGGCGGUCCGUUAAGUCAGCGGUAAAAUUGCGGGGCUCAACCCCGUCGAGCCGUUGAAACUGGCAGACUUGAGUUGGCGAGAAGUACGCGGAAUGCGCGGUGUAGCGGUGAAAUGCAUAGAUAUCGCGCAGAACUCCGAUUGCGAAGGCAGCGUACCGGCGCCAGACUGACGCUGAGGCACGAAAGCGUGGGGAUCGAACAAAAUUAGAUACCCUGGUAGUCCACGCAGUAAACGAUGAAUGCUGGUUGUCGGGGUCGAAUGAGAUUUGGGCGGGGAAGGGAAAGCGAUAAGCAUUCCACCUGGGGAGUACGCCGGCAACGGUGAAACUCAAAGGAAUUGACGGGGGCCCGCACAAGCGGAGGAACAUGUGGUUUAAUUCGAUGAUACGCGAGGAACCUUACCCGGGCUCAAACGGGAGUGGAAUGGAUCAGAGACGGUUCAGCCUACGGGCCGCUUCCGAGGUGCUGCAUGGUUGUCGUCAGCUCGUGCCGUGAGGUGUCGGCUUAAGUGCCAUAACGAGCGCAACCCCCGCCGGCAGUUGCUAACGGGCAAUGCCGAGGACUCUGCCGGGACUGCCGCCGCAAGGCGAGAGGAAGGCGGGGAUGACGUCAAAUCAGCACGGCCCUUACGUCCGGGGCGACACACGUGUUACAAUGGGCGGUACAGCGGGAAGCCAGGCGGCGACGCCGAGCGGAACCCGAAAGCCGUUCUCAGUUCGGAUCGGAGUCUGCAACCCGACUCCGUGAAGCUGGAUUCGCUAGUAAUCGCGCAUCAGCCAUGGCGCGGUGAAUACGUUCCCGGGCCUUGCACACACCGCCCGUCA
Molecule: ribosomal RNA, 1398 nt
Filed under: uncultured bacterium
Lineage: Bacteria
Description: 16S ribosomal RNA
Rfam family: Bacterial small subunit ribosomal RNA
Source: RNAcentral